RNAcentral lists this ribosomal RNA (216 nucleotides) under Glomeromycotina sp. RNAcentral's name for it is "partial small subunit ribosomal RNA". The stretch from base 40 to 216 matches the Rfam family "Eukaryotic small subunit ribosomal RNA", at positions 686 to 864 of the family's 1831-position model. The record is from RNAcentral. Lineage: Eukaryota; Fungi; Glomeromycota.
GGGUCAGUAGGUUGGUCGUGCCACCGGUACGUACUGGUCUCACUGAUUCCUCCUUCCUGAAGAACCGUAAUGCCAUUAAUUUGGUGUUGCGGGGAAACAGGACUGUUACUUUGAAAAAAUUAGAGUGUUUAAAGCAAGCUAACGCUUGAAUACAUUAGCAUGGAAUAAUGAAAUAGGGCGAUCGAUCCUAUUUUGUUUGUUUCUAGGAUUGACGUA